AGUGAACGCUGGCGGUAUGCCUAACACAUGCAAGUCGAACGGCAGCACAGUAAGAGCUUGCUCUUACGGGUGGCGAGUGGCGGACGGGUGAGGAAUACAUCGGCAUCUACUUUUUCGUGGGGGAUAACGUAGGGAAACUUACGCUAAUACCGCAUACGACCUACGGGUGAAAGCAGGGGAUCUUCGGACCUUGCGCGAUUGAAUGAGCCGAUGUCGGAUUAGCUAGUUGGCGGGGUAAAGGCCCACCAAGGCGACGAUCCGUAGCUGGUCUGAGAGGAUGAUCAGCCACACUGGAACUGAGACACGGUCCAGACUCCUACGGGAGGCAGCAGUGGGGAAUAUUGGACAAUGGGCGAAAGCCUGAUCCAGCAAUACCGCGUGGGUGAAGAAGGCCUUCGGGUUGUAAAGCCCUUUUGUUGGGAAAGAAAAGCAGCAGGUUAAUACCCCGCUGUUCUGACGGUACCUAAAGAAUAAGCACCGGCUAACUUCGUG
This 492-nucleotide ribosomal RNA is filed under the name uncultured bacterium. RNAcentral's name for it is "partial 16S ribosomal RNA". It matches the Rfam family "Bacterial small subunit ribosomal RNA", at positions 29 to 507 of the family's 1533-position model. The record is from RNAcentral.